UCAUCGCGCUUUCAUCGCUGUCAACUGAAAAUUGAAUUGCCUGCCAACUUUAAAAUUUUUGUCUUCAUAUGGCGCCUUAUCUUGCCCGCGUAUCCGUCUCACGCCCCGCAGUCAUGCAAGAUGCGCUGAACGCGUUAUCGCACUGAACAGUACAGAUCCAAUCCAGAAGUGCGGCAGCUGCGCACACUAGGCCAUGACGAUAUAAGAAGCUCGCCGCACGAUGGACUCGGCUACUUCCUUUUCAGAAACCGCACCGUUCCACUUCAAGCGGCGACUACGUUCCUGCUGCUAGCGUCCCAGCGAUUGCUAAAUGGAAGGCAGAAGAAUGAACCGGCGGAAUGCUGCUUUGAGAAUUGCCCGGCAAAGGGAGAACAGGCUCCGGAUGCAGGGGAACGCUAACGGUGCAGCCAGGCCGGCACCUGCUUUCUCCUACCUCGAUAUGGCCAUGGCACCUGUGCGACUCUUCCUUGAUGCCCUGAUGGUGCCUCUGCGCUUCAUGUCAGACAUGCUGAAGAAAUUUCUCGUGGCCAUGCUGUCAUUCUACAACCGCUCGUGGGUGAUCCUGCAGGCAGACUUGUAACAGCGCCGUCACUGACGAGCCAAUGAAUUUUCCUGUGAAAUGCACCUGUAAAAAACUACCAAGGACACCCAGAGGGUCCCGCUGACCUGCACUUUUGACAAACUCGACUGAACCAUUUUUACCAUGCGCCAAUCAUUCUGGUUUUAAACUUUCAGCACAUUGACUUCACUUCAGCAUUCACCCAUUCUUGUAGACCACAUGAAGCAAUAAAGGUCAUUUCAUGGGAA
Molecule: long non-coding RNA, 807 nt
Organism: Dermacentor albipictus
Lineage: Eukaryota; Metazoa; Arthropoda; Arachnida; Ixodida; Ixodidae
Source: RefSeq, a predicted model, not a curated record